AGUGAACGCUGGCGGUAGGCCUAACACAUGCAAGUCGAACGGCAGCACAGGAGAGCUUGCUUUCUGGGUGGCGAGUGGCGGACGGGUGAGGAAUACAUCGGAAUCUACUUUUUCGUGGGGGAUAACGUAGGGAAACUUACGCUAAUACCGCAUACGACCUACGGGUGAAAGCAGGGGACCUUCGGGCCUUGCGCGAUUGAAUGAGCCGAUGUCGGAUUAGCUAGUUGGCGGGGUAAAGGCCCACCAAGGCGACGAUCCGUAGCUGGUCUGAGAGGGUGAUCAGCCACACUGGAACUGAGACACGGUCCAGACUCCUACGGGAGGCAGCAGUGGGGAAUAUUGGACAAUGGGCGCAAGCCUGAUCCAGCCAUACCGCGUGGGUGAAGAAGGCCUUCGGGUUGUAAAGCCCUUUUGUUGGGAAAGAAAUCCAGCUGGCUAAUACCCGGUUGGGAUGACGGUACCCAAAGAAUAAGCACCGGCUAACUUCGUGCCAGCCGCCGCGGUAA
Molecule: ribosomal RNA, 506 nt
Filed under: uncultured bacterium
Lineage: Bacteria
Description: partial 16S ribosomal RNA
Rfam family: Bacterial small subunit ribosomal RNA
Source: RNAcentral